GCAGUGGCUCUGGCGGUCGUGGCGGUCGGAGAUCCGAGAGCUCUGCUUCUCUGAAAAGCGUGUGGCUUUCUGGACUUGGCCACCCACGAGCCAGCGGGAAAGGAUUGCCAGCCGGAGAAAGACGAACUCCGAAGUCCCAAUGCACAGAUCAGCCCCCAGUCAAACCACCAAGAGGAGCCGAUCGCCAUUUUCCACUACUCGUCGUAGUUGGGACGACAGCGAGAGUUCGGGAACCAACCUGAAUAUUGAUAAUGAGGACUAUUCCAGGUAUCCGCCAAGAGAGUACAGAGCUUCGGGUAGCAGAAGAGGAAUGGCCUAUGGACAUAUUGACUCUUAUGGGGCAGAUGAUAGUGAGGAGGAGGGGGCUGGGCCUGUUGAGCGACCGCCAGUGAGAGGGAAAACUGGCAAGUUUAAAGAUGAUAAGCUGUAUGACCCAGAGAAAGGGGCAAGGUCUUUGGCUGGGCCACCUCCACAUUUCUCUAGUUUUAGCCGUGAUGUGAGAGAGGAGCGAGACAAGUUAGACCCAGUCCCUGCAGCAAGAUGCUCAGCUAGCAGAGCUGACUUCCUGCCACAAAGUAGUGUGGCCUCACAGUCGUCUUCUGAAGGCAAGCUGGCUACAAAAGGUGACAGCUCGGAGAGGGAGAGAAGGGAGCAAAAUUUACCUGCACGUCCCAGCAGGGCUCCUGUGAGUAUUUGUGGUGGUGGGGAAAACACCUCAAAGAGUGCAGAGGAACCUGUGGUCAGGCCCAAAAUCAGAAACCUGGCAAGUCCAAACUGCGUGAAACCAAAAAUUUUUUUUGAUACUGAUGAUGAUGACGAUAUGCCACACAGUACUUCCAGGUGGAGGGAUACCGCCAAUGACAAUGAAGUCCACUCGGAUGGCCUGG
Molecule: small RNA, 887 nt
Filed under: Pan troglodytes (chimpanzee)
Lineage: Eukaryota; Metazoa; Chordata; Mammalia; Primates; Hominidae
Description: processed transcript
Source: RNAcentral